RNAcentral lists this ribosomal RNA (406 nucleotides) under uncultured bacterium. Its description in RNAcentral is "partial 16S ribosomal RNA". It matches the Rfam family "Bacterial small subunit ribosomal RNA", at positions 30 to 526 of the family's 1533-position model. The record is from RNAcentral.
AUUGAACGCUGGCGGCAGGCCUAACACAUGCAAGUCGAGCGAGUGGCGGACGGGUGAGUAAUGUAUGGGGAACUGCCUGAUCGAGGGGGAUAACUACUGGAAACGAUGGCUAAUACCGCAUACUAUCGGAUGUGCCCAUAUGGGAUUAGCUAGUAGGUGGGGUAAAGGCUCACCUAGGCGACGAUCCCUAGCUGGUCUGAGAGGAUGACCAGCCACACUGGGACUGAGACACGGUCCAGACUCCUACGGGAGGCAGCAGUGGGGAAUAUUGCACAAUGGGCGCAAGCCUGAUGCAGCCAUGCCGCGUGUAUGAAGAAGGCCUUAGGGUUGUAAAGUACUUUCAUCGGGGAGGCGUUACCCGCAGAAGAAGCACCGGCUAACUCCGUGCCAGCAGCCGCGGUAAUUC